Molecule: long non-coding RNA, 537 nt
Filed under: Helianthus annuus (common sunflower)
Lineage: Eukaryota; Viridiplantae; Streptophyta; Magnoliopsida; Asterales; Asteraceae
Source: RNAcentral
GGUAUUGAUAAAACAGUAGCGAGUCUAAUUGAGGAGCUGAAGAAAAGGCUUGAUCUGUGAAAGGCUGUGAAGAUAUUAAAGUCUAUUGCGUCAAUCUUUGCUGGAAAUGAUUAUAUCAUUGUAACCACAAUGUUGUUGACAAAGUUGGUAAGAGAAGGAAGGCUUCGCUAUUAGCUAUUGCCAUCAUCACAGAUAGACUUUUGACCCGUGUGGCCAUCUUCGCAGAUAACUCGUGGAACUGAUCAAUGGUAUUGUUGAAUGAUGUUGAUUGAUAGGAUGCAUACUCACAUAGGACGGGACGAGGCCUUAGUGAUUGAAUAACAAUGAUAGACUAUGUUUAACUUGUUUGUUAGAUUUCAAGACGAUGUAAAUGUUAAAUGUUUAAUAAAACGAAACUUCAAAUUUCCAUGUGUUUUGAAACAAUGAUUCUGUUACAACACUCCCCGAUGUUUCCGCCACGUUUUGUUGUUUUAUCGUGGUCGGGGUGUGACAGUAGAGGUUCGGACAUGUGUAAUUAUAACAAGUUUGCUAUUAUUC